ACCAGAAAUAGAAAGAAGAACCGAGAGAAGGGAGGUAGGAGAAGGAAAAGAAACGAAAUGGAUUACGGGGAGAGUAAGUAGUUAAGGUUUGUAAGAAAUGCGAAGUGGAGGUUUUUGUUUUUUCCGAGGAUCAACUCCUAGAUAAUGCGAGCAGUCAUGGGCAUGACUAUUGUUUAGUUUUUUAAAACAUCCAUUUGUUAUUUUUUUUUUUAUAGGCGUGACAAUUAUUUUGUGUUUAAGAUAUCCAUUUAUUCUAUUUUGUAUAUAUAUUGAUAUAGUAUGAUUUGAAA
Molecule: long non-coding RNA, 290 nt
Organism: Populus trichocarpa (black cottonwood)
Lineage: Eukaryota; Viridiplantae; Streptophyta; Magnoliopsida; Malpighiales; Salicaceae
Exons: 2
Source: RefSeq, a predicted model, not a curated record